Molecule: long non-coding RNA, 2406 nt
Organism: Mesocricetus auratus (golden hamster)
Lineage: Eukaryota; Metazoa; Chordata; Mammalia; Rodentia; Cricetidae
Exons: 6
Source: RefSeq, a predicted model, not a curated record
CUCUCUCCUCUCCUCUCUUCCCCCCUCUCUCAUUUCCUCUUCCCCUCUCUCUCUUUUCUCUCUCAGCUCUGCGGAGGCCAUUCUGGCUAUGAGUUUCUAACCUGAGGAUCCUUGGGGAGACCCAUAAAACCACAGCAGGUGGUACAAUGAAGUCAUUGCUUUGGUAAUACAGGACUAACCAGCCAUUGUGAGUACAGCAUACAUCAACCAGUGAGUUCCCAGCUAGAGAAAAAGACAACAGCAAAGAGAAGACACCCUUACAGCGUGCAUCUGCCUUCCCCUGGGGCGUGUUCAUGGAAGUUACAUGGAAAAAGGCAGCGAAAGCUGCCCGUGUUGCACCAUGGCAGCGUCUCCAAUGCAUGGUAGCAUUUAUCAUUCUGAGUCUUCAUUGUCACCUCACCUGUGAGCUGGGAGCCUUUCUGUCAUCGUCUCAGGAGAGACCCUUCUGGCGACACUUGGCAAGCGGGUGAGGGAGCCUCAGAUUCCAGAACCCGAAGACAUUACUGCUGAACUGCACAAGAGGAAGCGUUCAGGCUAACAAUGGUUGCCCUCAAAGGCGCCCUGGGGGCUUCUAGGAAGCCUGACAUGUGCAUUACAUGGAUCCUGUUACCAGAAUAGAAAUCCCGGAUGUGUGGAGACAAGCAGGCCUGACCUCUGCAAGUGUCAGGGCCAGGGUUCCAUGUGUCCUCCUGAGGCCUUGUUUUUGUUUUUUUGGAAUGCUGAUACAGUGGUUGGCGUUCUAGUAGCCAGAGGACUUCCAAAAAGAACUUGAAGCUGGAAGGCUUGUGCUAAGGCUGUCAGAGCAGAAAUAAGUGGGAUAGAGUUCAUGGCCAGAGGUGGAGCCAUCUUGUCCAUCAGCCUCCACAUCUACUGGCAGCUCUGGAGAAGUCCAUUUCUAUGUCCGUAUCUGUGUUUUUAAUUACAUAGCUCCCAGGCCAUCCCUCCCUCUAUAAGGAGUCGAAGAUUUAAUGUGAUUAUUUUUAAUUUUACUCUGACAUUGAAUUUUUGAGGGAGAAGCAUGCAUUGACGUGUUGGUGGCAUAGAAAGAGGGGAGCUCACCAGCUGUCAAAGACUGACCUAUGAGCUCAUACAGUGCUGAGAUUAUAGCCAUGCCUGCCUUUUCCCUCGAUCCUGGUGAUCUGAACUCAAGUCUUCAUGCUUGUACAGCAAGCGCCUUAUGAACUGAACCAUCUCCCCAACCCCAUGAAGCUAAGUUUUGAAAGUCAACAAUCUCAGACUUUUGUAGAAAGUGACAAGUAAGUGGUGAGACUCUGCAUUUAAACAGUCAUCAUUUACUAUAGUUCCAGGAACCAACCAAGGACUUCUGCAGAAGAGGCAAGUGCUCUACCAUGGAUGGAUGCCCACAGCUCCUCUGUGGCUCCUUUAGCCCACAAGAAGAAGAGUCCCUCUUCAAAACAGAGGUCAGGGUGUCAGCAUGGGACUUCAGCUGCAGGCAAUAUUCUUAUUGUCACUGAAAGGAAGCUUUGCUUUGGGGAGAGUCACACCUUGAAACUGUUCUCAGCUGUCAAUCAGACAUUUCUGUUGACCCCUUUUCUGUCUCCUGUUCCCCUUCUUCAGGGGCAAUUGACUUAAGUUCCCUGUAGAAAUGGUCCUUCCCUUUUGUGGUUCAUGGAGUUGUUUUGACGAUCUGGUAAGACGGGUAAUGUAAACCUCUUUAAACAGCGUCAAGCUCACGAUUCCAUUAGAAAUGCUAAUUUUCAGAGCUCUUAUUUUUUCUUAACAACAUAGUUCAAGUGAUGCUUAAAAUAAUAAGUUUACCAUUGUUAAAUCAUCCUUUAAUUGUUAUAGAAUUUAGAGUAUUGUCAUUUUUGAUCAAUAUAUAAAGCUUUAGUUAAUAUCCUUGUACGUACGUGAGUGCUGCUCUGAUAACUUCCUUGGAUAAAUUACCAGAGUGAGUGAUUUAUUAUUUUUUGUUGUAUAUUCACAGGAUGUAAAUGAUUUAAGCCUCUUUCAGCAUAUCUCAAACUUGCUUUCAGAUAAAGAAUAAACCAUUUUAUACUUUCAAUUGUCAUAGAAGAUAUCAGUAGUGUGAACUAUGUCUUAAUCAUCUUAUUUUUUUCCUCUAUACCAAGCUAUUCUGUAUUGAAGGGAUUUUCUUAUUUGGGGGCAGAGGGUUUUCUCUCCAAGAAGCAGUCAGCACUCCCACAGCCACCCAGUUCCAUGUCACCUGGAAGCCAAGAUGUCACCAUCCUGUCCUGUGGGAUGCCCAGGUGUGUCUAGAAUCUGAGUGGAAAGAAGGCUUCAGGGAUGGCUCCCUGGCAGCUGUGGGGAUCAGAAAUGGAGAUCCAGUCCCGAAGCUGUGUCAGCAUGGGCCUACUAACUCCUACAGCAUAGGGAGGUCCAGGAACCAUGUGUACCCACUCAGCCCUGGCCAAUUCUGCCUGU